CCCGGGAAGGGCAUACUAAAAUUACUAAAAUUCCAAAGUUUGGUUGCAAAAUGUUGUAAAAUAUGUAGAAAAUAUAGCCUUCCAAAGUUUGCAAAUUUUGUAUUCUUUUGUAUAAUUGCAAUUUUCGCAUGCAAUACAAAAGUGUACAAAAUUUGCAAACUUUGCAAGGCUAUAUUUUCCGUAUUUUGCAACAAUUCGCAACCAAACUUUGCAAUAAUUUACUUAUUUUAGUAUGCUCUUUCUAGCUGUGGUGAUUUAUUUGCAUCAAGGCCGGAUUUUGAGGGAAGUGUGGAGAGGUGCGCACCUCCCCAGAGAUCGUUUUGCACCUCCCCUGAGAAUUUUUCCACCUCCCUUGAAAGGUCAUGCACUUCCCCUUGGGAAAGUUUCAAUGAUGGAACAAAGUGAAAAUGUGAUGGUUGCUUAGGAUCUACACUUUGUGACGUAAGAAAGUUUUCUCUGUAAAAUUGAAACAGUGAUAGCCAUGUCAAGUACCCUUUUAAUGCAAUGUUUUGAAAGAAACAGU
Molecule: non-coding RNA, 523 nt
Organism: Paramuricea clavata
Lineage: Eukaryota; Metazoa; Cnidaria; Anthozoa; Malacalcyonacea; Plexauridae
Source: the annotation of a GenBank genome assembly